UGAGGCACUGCUCUGGGGUGUGCCUGAGCCCACCCCACAACAGCCCAGCUGUUGUUUUCACGGCUCCGGGACCAGGCGGAUCCUCAGCCAAGAGCUUCCCAGGAGAGCCCUCAUCUUCAACCCCUAGUGGCGACCAGAGCCAGCCCGGGCAGGAGGGGAAGGAAGGCGGCCGCGGCCCCGGGGAAGCCAUCCUGGCAGCUUGGCCACUGGCCCGGCUCCUGUCUGACCAGGAAAGGCAUCAAAGCCGGACUCGGAUGGAGGCUGGAAAACCCCGAGACUUCUGCUGGACUCGACCCAGCCACACACCAGGCUGUGCUCAAGGCCACGGAAUGAGCCUUGACCCUGGCCCCAGACGGAGCCCAGACCUUGCUGGUCACAGGCUGAGCCCUGCUGGCAAUAUGAUGUACUAGAUCCCUUAAAAGGCCUUCCAGCAACAACCAACUUCUGGAUGAAUUA
This 456-nucleotide long non-coding RNA is filed under the name Homo sapiens (human). Its description in RNAcentral is "non-protein coding LINC01770:17". The record is from RNAcentral. Lineage: Eukaryota; Metazoa; Chordata; Mammalia; Primates; Hominidae.